RNAcentral lists this transfer RNA (77 nucleotides) under Candidatus Sungiibacteriota bacterium. Its description in RNAcentral is "Candidatus Sungbacteria bacterium tRNA-Gly". It matches the Rfam family "tRNA". From Rfam's summary of the family: Transfer RNA (tRNA) molecules are approximately 80 nucleotides in length. Lineage: Bacteria; Candidatus Sungiibacteriota. The record is from RNAcentral.
GCGGGUGUGGCCGAAUGGCUAAGGCGCCAGCCUUCCAAGUUGGUUUUUUGUGGGUUCGAGUCCCACCACCCGCUCCA